Long non-coding RNA from Entelurus aequoreus (snake pipefish), 296 nucleotides. RefSeq lists it as uncharacterized. The transcript is spliced from 3 exons. Lineage: Eukaryota; Metazoa; Chordata; Actinopteri; Syngnathiformes; Syngnathidae. The record is from RefSeq and is a predicted model, not a curated record.
AAAAAAGAAAGCAUGCUUAAAGUAAAGCUGUGAUGAAAAGUUGACACUCGCCAGUCGUCAUCAUGCCAAAUGUACACAGGAAGCAGGAACAUCCACUUUUAGGGGGUCAUUGUCCUGUUGGAACACCCAACUGCGCCCAAGACUCAACCUCCGGGCUGAUGAUUUUAGGUUGUCCUGAAGAAUUUGGAGGAGCCAGAUUAGGUGCCAUGCGGAAGACCCAGGACUGUGGAAACACCUCAGGAUCCCCCAGGAAGAGCUGGACGAAGUAACUGGGGAGAGGGAAGUCUGGGUUUCUC